GGAAAACGGUAAUGAAGAAGAGGGAAUAUGGAGGGGAUAGUUUUGUCAUUGUAAAUUUGGUCAACUUAUUUUCUUUCAAUAUUUAUUUAUUUAUCAUUGCUAAAAUAAAUAAAUAAAUAAAUAAACCAAUAAUUUCUUGUGAUCGGAAUUUCUCAAGUCGGAAUCAGAUCGUCCGCUUCUUCUUCUUUCUCUUCUUCUUCUUCUUCUCGAAAUCUUGUACUGAGAAGAUGACUCGAGGAAAGCAGAAGAUCGAAGCUCAGAAACGAAAUGCGGAGAAAAAUCAGAAGCCCAAAGGCUCACAGCUUGAGGCCAGAGCCGUUGCCCUUAAAGUCAUCUGCCCGAUUUGCAAGGUACAACUUGCAAAUCAGAACCAGUUGGGUGAUCAUUAUGGCUCCAAACAUCCAAAGGAAAAGCCACCAUCAGAAUCUGGUUGAAUCUUCGGUUGCAAGUUGAAGUAUGAGUUGCUUUAUUGAAGGCAUUUCAAAGUUCUCUUCUGUUCAGAUCCAUGAAAAAAUUUCUCUGAUCGUCUUCAACUUUCCUGUUCUUAAAAUGUAUUACUUGUAAGGGUAAAAAAACGAUUGGUCAUUCUGUCACUUGUAAAAUAAAAUAGACACUAAUAUGCUUUUUCCAGAUCCCCAAUCUAAUCUCUUCUCUGUGCCUAUGAAA
Cucumis melo (muskmelon) is the source of this 666-nucleotide long non-coding RNA. RefSeq lists it as uncharacterized. The transcript is spliced from 2 exons. NCBI's taxonomy places the organism in Eukaryota, Viridiplantae, Streptophyta, Magnoliopsida, Cucurbitales, Cucurbitaceae. The record is from RefSeq and is a predicted model, not a curated record.